RNAcentral lists this transfer RNA (74 nucleotides) under Vermamoeba vermiformis. RNAcentral describes it as "tRNA-Arg". It matches the Rfam family "tRNA". From Rfam's summary of the family: Transfer RNA (tRNA) molecules are approximately 80 nucleotides in length. The record is from RNAcentral. RNAcentral also lists the same sequence under 2 other names. Lineage: Eukaryota; Tubulinea; Echinamoebida; Vermamoebidae.
AUGCUUGUAGCUCAAUUGGUUAGAGCGUUAAGUUGCGAAUUUAAAGGUUAAAGGUUCAAGUCCUUUCAAGCAUG